GAACCUUACCUGGGCUCGAACGGCUGGUCAACGGCGGUGGAAACAUCGCUACCCCGCAAGGGGGUCCAGUCGAGGUGCUGCAUGGCUGUCGUCAGCUCGUGUCGUGAGAUGUUGGGUUAAGUCCCGCAACGAGCGCAACCCUUGUCCUGUGUUGCCAUGCCGAAAGGCGGAACUCGCAGGAGACCGCCAGCGAUAAGCUGGAGGAAGGUGGGGAUGACGUCAAGUCCUCAUGGCCUUUAUGUCCAGGGCUACACACGUGCUACAAUUGACGGUACAAAGCGCUGCUAACUCGCGAGAGGGAGCCAAUCGCAAAAAACCGUUCUCAGUUCGGAUUGCAGGCUGCAACUCGCCUGCAUGAAGCUGGAAUCGCUAGUAAUGGCAGAUCAGCACGCUGCCGUGAAUACGUUCCCGGGCCUUGUCACACCGA
Molecule: ribosomal RNA, 427 nt
Filed under: uncultured soil bacterium
Lineage: Bacteria
Description: bacterial SSU rRNA
Rfam family: Bacterial small subunit ribosomal RNA
Source: RNAcentral